RNAcentral lists this ribosomal RNA (253 nucleotides) under uncultured bacterium. RNAcentral's name for it is "partial 16S ribosomal RNA". It matches the Rfam family "Bacterial small subunit ribosomal RNA", at positions 524 to 776 of the family's 1533-position model. The record is from RNAcentral.
UACGGAGGGUGCAAGCGUUAUCCGGAUUCACUGGGUUUAAAGGGUGCGUAGGCGGACAGGUAAGUCAGUGGUGAAAUCUCUGGGCUUAACCCAGAAACUGCCGUUGAUACUAUUUGUCUUGAAUAUCCUGGAGGUAGGCGGAAUAUGUCAUGUAGCGGUGAAAUGCUUAGAUAUGACAUAGAACACCGAUAGCGAAGGCAGCUCACAAAACUGUAACUGACGCUGAGGCACGAAAGCGUGGGGAUCGAACAGG